UGUCAAAGAACUCUAACACGACAGGCAAAGACAAUGUAUAGUCUUGACCAACAGACUUUGCUACCAUGAACUCUGCUUUUCCCCCCACUACGUUUCCUCAAAUCUGACCUUCUUCACUAUUUUGGCUUAAGACUUCAUUCUUCAGGGUGCAAAGAAGAUAUACUAACUCGCAGGGUUUCAUGGGCUCUGGUCCUGGAUGUCCACACCACAGACUUGUUAGUUUGAACUCGGUUUCUUGUUGAAAAAUGAAAGUAGUUCUGCUGGCAGGAAAAUGUGGUUGUGACACAGAGAGUAACUCCUUCGAUAAGGUGCAUCCUGUCUCAGUCCUCCUAUCUGAGAAAGUCCUCCAGCAAUAAUACCUCAGUAGGCCAUGAAAGGGAGCCAAGGGAACAGCCUUUAAUGAACAGGAGAUAAGCACUGCAGGAGCACAGAACGGAGAGGUUGAGACAAGCUUGGAGCCACCACAUCCCAAUUCCACUACACCUCACCACCCGCAUGCAAGGGACAUAGAGCUAGGACUGCCAUGCUCUGCUCAGUGACAGCCCUUCUGUCCCAGGUCACCUCCCUGGUGACUGAGAGUGGGAUGCAUCCUUACUGCAGCCUCUGAAUCCUGAGUGAGACUCGGUGAUGCUGUACUGCUCUCCUGACAGUCUUGAAUCCAAUGCUUCCCUCCCAGUUGUGUGUCAUGGUGCAUUGCCUCAUGUGGGAACUGCUCAUGUGGGAAAAGCAUUUUCUGGAAGUGCUACUAGCUUUUAAUUUCUCACAUUGUGUGGGCAUACCUAGUUGUUGCCAAUGCAAGAGUCAACACCCUGGAGUUUUGUUGUAUGCGGACAAGGCCUUUCCCAUUUAUUUGAACCCUUUUCUGAAGGAUGAGCCACAUUGUGCCAAGGCUUUCAGAUACUGCAAAAUGACAGCAGGCAAUAUGCUCCAGAGGUAUAAGAUAAAUAUUGUCCAUAGACCUGCACGGGAGGGUGGUCAUCUCACAUGGGCUGUAUGAGCAGGAAGAUGCCAUGUGUUAAAUAGAUGAGAAACUGUGGCUUGUGUCAGGAGGCCCUUCUUGUUAUGAGGAGCUAAGUGUUCUGGGCUAACAAAUUCUAUGCAACUGCAUGUGCCACCUUAUGCACAUCAUGGACAUGGAAGGUCUAUGCCAGUGUGAUGGUCUGUACAAUGUGAAUAUAAGGUGGUCCCUACCAACUGACCAUGGAUGGAUAUUUGUUCCUUUAAAGAUUUCAAAGUCUGCAUGAAGAAAAUCAUGGAAGCAAACCAAAUGGUUUUCUUAUAAACUAAAUACCAAAAUUUUAUUUUUGAGGAUUAUUUCAUCCUAUAUUAAUAGAAAUGUUAUCCAAAGAAGGCAAAAAAAAGUUAAUCAUUACUUAAAUCUAUUGUGUUUCUGGUUUGAGUUCAAAAGAAGGCAUCGAGAAAAAUAAGAGGACUGUGUUGAAAUUACUACUGUUGUUAUUAAAACAACUCUUUUGAGCCUGUGUCUACAUUGGAGGGAGUAAUAAACAUUUCAAAAAUUAAGGACUGAUUUACAAAGGCUGAGCAACUGUAUUAAGAAUUUCAAAGGAGCUCAUGUUCUAUUCAAACUAUGAUUAAUCUGUCUUUUGUUCUUAAAUUUAAAUGCUAUCAAUUUUAAUUUUAGGAAAUGUUACUAUAGAACCAGGAGUAAAGCCAAUACACUAUUAUUUUCCCUGUACAAUAUCACUUCAGGUGGUCAGGUUUGGCACAGGGAAAGUGUGAUUAUGCUUUGUUUAUCUACUAUAGCAUUUUUAGGAAAAU
Pipra filicauda (Wire-tailed manakin) is the source of this 1779-nucleotide long non-coding RNA. RefSeq lists it as uncharacterized. The record is from RefSeq and is a predicted model, not a curated record. Lineage: Eukaryota; Metazoa; Chordata; Aves; Passeriformes; Pipridae. The transcript has 3 exons.